RNAcentral lists this ribosomal RNA (269 nucleotides) under uncultured Staphylococcus sp. Its description in RNAcentral is "partial 16S ribosomal RNA". It matches the Rfam family "Bacterial small subunit ribosomal RNA", at positions 505 to 773 of the family's 1533-position model. Lineage: Bacteria; Bacillati; Bacillota; Bacilli; Caryophanales; Staphylococcaceae. The record is from RNAcentral.
GUGCCAGCCGCCGCGGUAAUACGUAGGUGGCAAGCGUUAUCCGGAAUUAUUGGGCGUAAAGCGCGCGUAGGCGGUUUUUUAAGUCUGAUGUGAAAGCCCACGGCUCAACCGUGGAGGGUCAUUGGAAGCUGGAAAACUUGAGUGCAGAAGAGGAAAGUGGAAUUCCAUGUGUAGCGGUGAAAUGCGCAGAGAUAUGGAGGAACACCAGUGGCGAAGGCGACUUUCUGGUCUGUAACUGACGCUGAUGUGCGAAAGCGUGGGGAUCAAAC